GGCUGUCACAAUAUGAAAGCAUCAAAUUCUUACUCUAACACUUACUUAUGAACAUUAGGUAUUUUUGCCGAUUAUGUCAAUAUACUCGUUUUCACUUAAAAUCGACUAGCAAAAGUUGUUUAACAUAAUUUCUAGCUUCAUAUUCUACCAUAAAACAUCAAAAUAAACAUAUUUCACCUAUGGGUAUUUCCAAAUAUAAACCUUAGGUUAAAUUAUUGCUAGAAUAAGCUAAAUUAAGCUACCAGGAUUCCAAUAACGUAAAGAACAUUAAAAACGGGGCUAGAACAGACUUAAAAUCGAGCUUGGAAGUUUGAAAAACCCUAGCCAUGGUUUUCCCUUGAGAAAUUCGGCCAUGGGGUUGAAGAUGAACAAAAAUUGGCUUUUAAUUUUGUUUUUAAUUCAUUUUAAUAACUAAAUGACCAAAAUGCCCUUAAUGAAAAACUUUGGAAACAUGCCUAACCAU
Molecule: long non-coding RNA, 463 nt
Filed under: Gossypium barbadense (sea-island cotton)
Lineage: Eukaryota; Viridiplantae; Streptophyta; Magnoliopsida; Malvales; Malvaceae
Description: long non-coding RNA (GBAR_LNC013437)
Source: RNAcentral